GAUGAACGCUAGCUACAGGCUUAACACAUGCAAGUCGAGGGGCAGCAUGGUCUUAGCUUGCUAAGGCCGAUGGCGACCGGCGCACGGGUGAGUAACACGUAUCCAACCUGCCGUCUACUCUUGGGACAGCCUUCUGAAAGGAAGAUUAAUACAAGAUGGCAUCAUGAGUCCGCGAUGUUCACAUGAUUAAAGGGUAUUCCGGUAGACGAUGGGGAUGCGUUCCAUUAGGAUAGUAGGCGGGGUAACGGCCCACCUAGUCUUCGGAUGGAUAGGGGUUCUGACGAGGAAGGUUCCCCCACAUUGGAACUGAGCACGGGUCCAAACUCCUACGGGAGGCAGGCAGUGAGGAAUA
RNAcentral lists this ribosomal RNA (352 nucleotides) under uncultured bacterium. Its description in RNAcentral is "bacterial SSU rRNA". It matches the Rfam family "Bacterial small subunit ribosomal RNA", at positions 28 to 363 of the family's 1533-position model. The record is from RNAcentral.